This 505-nucleotide ribosomal RNA is filed under the name Olenecamptus clarus. RNAcentral's name for it is "partial 16S ribosomal RNA". It matches the Rfam family "Archaeal large subunit ribosomal RNA", at positions 1908 to 2665 of the family's 2987-position model. Lineage: Eukaryota; Metazoa; Arthropoda; Insecta; Coleoptera; Cerambycidae. The record is from RNAcentral.
GGCCUUUUGAUAAUAAUUUAAGGUUUAACCUGCCCACUGAGUAGUUAAAGGGCCGCGGUAUUUUGACCGUGCUAAGGUAGCAUAAUCAUUAGUUUUUUAAUUGAAAGCUGGAAUGAAUGGUUGAAUGAGAAAAUUACUGUCUUUAUUUUAUUUAGAUGAAUUUUAUUUUUAAGUUAAAAAGCUUAAAUUAAUUUAAAAGACGAGAAGACCCUAUAGAGUUUUAUAAACUUUAUUUUAUGAUUUUUUUAGUAUUAUAAAUUUAUAAAGGAAUUUUUAUUUGAUUGGGGUGAUUGAAAAAUUUGAUUAACUUUUUUUAUAUUUUUACAUGAAUUAAUGAAUAAUUGAUCCAUAAGUAAUGAUUAUAAGAUUAAAUUACCUUAGGGAUAACAGCGUAAUUGUUAUUGAGAGUUCAAAUCGAAAUAAUAGCUUGCGACCUCGAUGUUGGAUUAAAAUUUAUUUUUGGUGCAGAAGCUAAUAAACAGGGUCUGUUCGACCUUUAAAAUUU